Molecule: ribosomal RNA, 253 nt
Filed under: uncultured bacterium
Lineage: Bacteria
Description: partial 16S ribosomal RNA
Rfam family: Bacterial small subunit ribosomal RNA
Source: RNAcentral
GACGUAGGGCGCGAGCGUUGCUCGGAAUUAUUGGGCGUAAAGCGCGUGUAGGCGGCCUGUUAAGUCGGUUGUGAAAACCCAUGGCUCAACCAUGGAAGUGCGUCCGAAGCUGGCAGGCUUGAGUCCUGACGAGGAUGGCGGAAUUCCCAGUGUAGAGGUGAAAUUCGUAGAUAUUGGGAAGAACACCGGUGGCGAAGGCGGCUCUCUGGACCGAUACUGACGCUGAGGCGCGAAAGCGUGGGGAGCAAACAGG